This 265-nucleotide ribosomal RNA is filed under the name uncultured archaeon. RNAcentral describes it as "partial 16S ribosomal RNA". It matches the Rfam family "Archaeal small subunit ribosomal RNA", at positions 719 to 982 of the family's 1478-position model. The record is from RNAcentral.
AGUCACUGACAUUAGAUACCCGGGUAGUCCAGGGUGUAAACGCUGCAGACUUGGUGUUGGAAGCCCUUUGGGGGCAUUCAGUGCCGGAGAGAAGUUGUUAAGUCUGCUACUUGGGGAGUACGUCCGCAAGGAUGAAACUUAAAGGAAUUGGCGGGGGAGCACCGCAACGGGAGGAGCGUGCGGUUUAAUUGGAUUCAACACCGUAAACUCACCAGGGAAGACUGUUACAUGAAGGCCGAGAUGAAGACUCUGCUAGAUUUUUCAG